GCAGACACAUUCCAGCCAAUCAGCAGCAGACCCUCCCUCCCAGACCCUCCCACCUCCUGGACAGCAUCCAUUUUACAUUCAUUGUGAAGCUGCAUUUUUAGUGAGCUGUCCAGGAGGUGGGAGGGUCUGGGAGGGAGGGUCUGCUGCUGAUUGGCUGGAAUGUGUCUG
Molecule: microRNA precursor, 168 nt
Filed under: Pelobates cultripes (western spadefoot toad)
Lineage: Eukaryota; Metazoa; Chordata; Amphibia; Anura; Pelobatidae
Source: RNAcentral